RNAcentral lists this long non-coding RNA (615 nucleotides) under Vitis vinifera (wine grape). RNAcentral's name for it is "long non-coding RNA (VVIN_LNC000803)". Lineage: Eukaryota; Viridiplantae; Streptophyta; Magnoliopsida; Vitales; Vitaceae. The record is from RNAcentral.
CUUAAUGUAAUUUUUCAUGGACUUCUAUGACCUUAAGAGGAAAUUGAUUGGUCAAGGUUCUAGUAAGUUUACUAUUGAUCCAAUUGUAGUUUGUCAUUGUCUUUAAGUUGAUAGAUAUAAUUUUUUUUCUUUUAAUUAAUUACUUAGAAGACUUGAUAGAUAAUUUUGGAGGAUGAUUUGUUGUUGUUGUUGUUGUUGUUUUUUUUUUUUUUGGCACAAGAUGUUUUAGAAAGAAAAUUUAUUUGCCAUGUUGCAAACUCCUUGUUUGUCACAUUUUGACUCAUAGAAGUCAAAGUCGAGACAUGUUUCAUCAAGUCAUUUAUUUUAAACUACAAUCUACCGAAUUAAUUUGAAAAAUUAGUAUCACUUUAAUCUCUCUAUGGUUUAAUCAUAGGAUUCAAGAAAUAGAUUAUGAUGCUCAUAAAGGCUAUAGCUCAUUUUUCUAACCUUAUGUUAAGAUCAAGUUGGUUCAGUUAGAUUUGGGUUCACUCAUAUGAUUCGAAAUUCGUCAAUAAUAUUUUUUUAAGAAAAAAAUUUCUAUAUAUUUUUACCAAAAUUUAGAUAGUAAAUGAGAUAAAAUUUCAAGAUAAUAACAAAAAUAAAUAAAUAAAUUUC